RNAcentral lists this ribosomal RNA (472 nucleotides) under uncultured bacterium. RNAcentral's name for it is "partial 16S ribosomal RNA". It matches the Rfam family "Bacterial small subunit ribosomal RNA", at positions 28 to 507 of the family's 1533-position model. The record is from RNAcentral.
GACGAACGCUGGCGGCGUGCUUAACACAUGCAAGUCGAACGCUGAAGCUUGGUGCUUGCACUGGGUGGAUGAGUGGCGAACGGGUGAGUAAUACGUGAGUAACCUGCCCUUGACUCUGGGAUAAGCCUGGGAAACUGGGUCUAAUACUGGAUACGACAUGCCACUGCAUGGUGGUGUGUGGAAAGGGUUUUACUGGUUUUGGAUGGGCUCACGGCCUAUCAGCUUGUUGGUGGGGUAAUGGCCUACCAAGGCGACGACGGGUAGCCGGCCUGAGAGGGUGACCGGCCACACUGGGACUGAGACACGGCCCAGACUCCUACGGGAGGCAGCAGUGGGGAAUAUUGCGCAAUGGGCGGAAGCCUGAUGCAGCGACGCCGCGUGAGGGAUGACGGCCUUCGGGUUGUAAACCUCUUUCAGCACGGAAGAAGCGAGAGUGACGGUACGUGCAGAAGAAGCGCCGGCUAACUACGUG